UGCAGCUUGCCUCACACAACUGCCAGCUGAAGUGCAGAUUCAUAACCCUCAACCUCUCCCAACGACAAGCAGGUAAUGCUGUAAAGUGUGCUCUUAAGCUUCUGUUGCCUUGUGUGAAAUUACACACACACACACACACACACACACACACACACACACACACACACACGCACACUCUUUGCUUCUCUAGAUUUAGCUCUCUUGGAGUAGCUGUGCUGUUUUCUUUUUCAGUAAUAGGCUUCUUUGUAAGGAAUGGAAAAAAGGACCAGAAACCAUCACACCAAAGAUGAGAGAGAAAGAGAGGGCGGGAAGGUAGCGAAAUACCAGAGAGAGUUUUCCAGGACUCUUAUUAAUUUGAAGUUUUGCCUCCCUUGUUCCUUGUUAAUUUUGCUACUUGGUGAAACAGCAAGUUUGGCCUCCAGUUUAGGUUACUUUUAUUUGAAACCCUUUCAGGGAAUUUGGGUCUGAUUUACUAACAAUGUUCCCAUCUCUUGCGUACAGUGCACCAGACAGUGAUCUCAGAGAUGUUCGUCUGUUAUUUGAUGUGGAACUUAAUUUUCUGUCUUAAAACAGCAAAAAUAAAAUAUAGCCCUGGGAGGUUAAUGAUGUUUAGAUCUCACUACCUGGACUGGACCUUCUGUUCCCCUCUACAAUCUCUAUUCCGCAAACUUCUCUCACUGUGCCUUAAGCAGUAACAAUUCUCAGACUAAGCUCAUGCAGUUGUGUUUUGUUUGCCAACAAAUUUUUUAUCUCUCAAUUUUCUGUUUCUCUCAAAGGCAAGGCAGGUUUGUCCGUCAUCUCCUACCAUGGGAGGAGGCUGGGUAUUCACCUGGAUACUGAACAGCGUCCUUGUGGUGGCACGGUGGAUGUGGGAGGCUGCACGUGGGUCCCUUAAGGACUCUGGAAUUGUCCUGCUCAUGGAGAGCCCAGGCCUCUCCUGGAUAUUCCACUGGCCCUCAGGGUUGGAGAAGAAUGAAUGCCCGCUCAAGUUUCUCAGGGGAACGUUCAAAUCAAGGUUGCGGUUGGCCUGUACUUCCCAGGAAGACUCCACACCAGGGCAAUUCUGAGUCUGGCAUUGUUUGGUAGCACAACUGUGCUCAAUGCUUCACUAAAGACCCUCCGUGACCUUGUUAGGAUGUCUUGGUCAUUGAGAAAAUCACAAAGGCUACUAAGUGCAAUGGAGACCUUACUAUAGUCACCUGACCAGCAUAUGCUUGACAAUCAGACUGAUUUCCCACAAAAUGUGCUAUAAACGCUUGAGCCUUUGCCUCUUUCAUCCCUCAUCUCUAAAUUUGAUUUAGUUUCAGAUCUCCAAAAACCAAUCAGCAUCAGUGACCUAAUCAGUAUGCACAUGGAGGGAGAAUAGAUACGGUUUGAGCUAUUGGUAUAAAAAAUAAUGUCAUGAUAAAGAUGCUAUUCUUGGUGCCUGAGAAGAUAUAAUUGACAAGGUUGUUAAAAAGAUAAUUCGAUAAUAAAUACCAAUAUGUUGGUCCAAAUAAAUAAAAUUGACCUGUGCUUGUUGGAAUAAUAAUUUCACAGUUUUAUCACAAUGAUACUGUCAUGUUUUUAUCAUUCUCAGCCUCAAACACGACAAUAAUUUUGUCAGCCUCAAACAUGGCCAUACUCUUGGGUUAUUACUAACUAACCAGCCUUCACUCUUUCAGAAGAAACAGGUCAUAACUUGGUGAAGAAAAAAGGGGAAAAUAUAAUUAAAUAAGUAGCCACCAAGUUUUUAAAAAACCAGCACAUCUAAAGUCAAGCAACUCUUGAAAAGAAUGAGACUCAAAAGUGGCUCCUCAAGCCCGGACCCUGGCUGCCAGUGCAGAGUUAAUCCAGAAGGGAGUGUAAGUAAUUUACAAUACCUUACAACCAAAGCAGAAAUUACCUAAGGCUUCCAGAAGGUUAGCAUACUAGCAGAGCUUUGAGAAAAAAAUAACCUCAUAAAAAUGAAACAUUCCAGUUUUAAAAACUUCUAAUUACUGAUAAUUUCAAAUAUACAAAAGUAAUGAGAACAUUCAGCC
Molecule: long non-coding RNA, 2021 nt
Filed under: Fukomys damarensis (Damara mole-rat)
Lineage: Eukaryota; Metazoa; Chordata; Mammalia; Rodentia; Bathyergidae
Description: lncRNA (ENSFDAG00000029916.1)
Source: RNAcentral